RNAcentral lists this transfer RNA (114 nucleotides) under Panacagrimonas perspica. It matches the Rfam family "tRNA". Rfam says of the family: Transfer RNA (tRNA) molecules are approximately 80 nucleotides in length. The record is from Rfam by way of RNAcentral. Lineage: Bacteria; Pseudomonadati; Pseudomonadota; Gammaproteobacteria; Nevskiales; Nevskiaceae.
GCGCCCUUAGCUCAGCUGGAUAGAGCAUUAGGCUUCGAACCUAAGGGUCGGGAGUUGCUCGCUACGCUCACGCCAACGCGCUUUCGCGCUUUUGGUCGAAUCUCUCAGGGCGCU